This 69-nucleotide transfer RNA is filed under the name Rattus norvegicus (Norway rat). It matches the Rfam family "tRNA". Rfam says of the family: Transfer RNA (tRNA) molecules are approximately 80 nucleotides in length. Their secondary structure includes four short double-helical elements and three loops (D, anti-codon, and T loops). Lineage: Eukaryota; Metazoa; Chordata; Mammalia; Rodentia; Muridae. The record is from Rfam by way of RNAcentral.
GGGGACUUAGCUCAGUGGUAGAGCGCUUGCCCAGCAAGCACAAGGCCCUGGGUUCGAUCCCCAGCUCCG